UACUUCCAUAUUUAUCACAUUAAAGAAUUAAAAUAAUUAAAUUACAAAACAAAAAAAAAACAAAAAAGAAAUGAAACGGAAAAGCCAAUCUUUCUUCUACCUAAAUCCAUCCCGCCCUUAAUGUCUACAACCGCUAGCGACUAUCGACGUCAUUGCAAAGCUUCAACACCAUUACUCCACACUCACUCAUCACUACCACCGCAAACCAACUACCAUCAUCGCUACCAUCGAAUCCAACAUUACCAUCAUCCCCAAAAAUUGCCACCCCCAUCUCCCGACCAAAAAUCAAACCCAAGCAAUAAAAUCAUUCGUCACCUCAACCAUCAGCCAUGAACCACAAACACACAAACCGUACAUACUAUUGGGCAAACGACAAUAUAUAUAUAUAGAUCAAACUCCAAAGCAUCAAGAAUCGCACAUUUUUUCUAAAAAUUCUAAUAAAUCCAACAAUACUCACGGUCACGCACUAUUGUCAGUCGGUAAGCCUCAUCUAGGCAAAAGUUCAUUUUGAAACAUCAUCAAAAAUAGUUCCAGCCUGUCGUACCGCAAAACGAAGUCAAUCAGCCUCAUUCAAUUCAUCGGUUGGAGUAAAGGAAUAAGAAUGUGUUUUACGAGGUGGUUCAGAAGUGGAAGGAGUAUGCGUGCAACAUUUUGCGUUGUUGAUGGCGCUGACGAUGACUAGGUGGUAUUGGUUUUGGUUUGGGGUGUGAGGUGUAAGGUUUUGGGUGAAGACGAUAAAUAUUUUUAUUUUUCUUCAUUUCCUUUUUUAUUUUUUUGUAUUUAUUUACUUUAAUUAAAUAAUGUAGUAAAUUGCAAGUUACUAUUUUACCUUUUAUAAAAUUAUUAAAAAAAAUGUUCAAACUAACUUUUUGGGUCAACUAAUAGAAAUAUGAGUGAAAAUCAUCCAAAAGAUUUGGAGUGACAGCUAUAACGUUUGAAAAGCUUGGAGAAAGUCUGCUAGUAUUUCGAAGAUUUUGAGCUUUUGCUACAAUUAUCCCUAUUUGUUUAGAUAAGCAACUUCUGUCUUUUUUAUCUAAAGAGUUCAAUGUAAAAUAGGAGUAGGGUUUUUUUAGUUACAAAAUCACUACUGAUUUUUAUUAUUGAGAUAUAUUGAGUUCCUCUCUUAUUUGUCUAUGUUGUUCACUUUAAUUUUAAAUACACCACACAUAAUAAGUUGUUAACUUUUUAUUUUAAACUGAACCAACUAACUCUAAGUUCGAA
Molecule: long non-coding RNA, 1221 nt
Filed under: Olea europaea subsp. europaea
Lineage: Eukaryota; Viridiplantae; Streptophyta; Magnoliopsida; Lamiales; Oleaceae
Source: RNAcentral